This is a long non-coding RNA of Oryzias melastigma (Indian medaka), 547 nucleotides long. RefSeq lists it as uncharacterized. NCBI's taxonomy places the organism in Eukaryota, Metazoa, Chordata, Actinopteri, Beloniformes, Adrianichthyidae. The transcript has 3 exons. The record is from RefSeq and is a predicted model, not a curated record.
CGAGGAAUACAAAAGAAAAAAACAUGAGUUUUUUUAGCUUUAGGUCUUCGUUUCAGCCACAGGAAAACAUGGGCACCGUUUCCUUUUCUACUUCGCAUCCUGAACCUUUUGGAUUUCCUUGGGAUUGCUGCAUUGAUCCACGCUGCUCAGACUCAGUGAGAGACCGUUAUCUCCAGAAUCAGAGGGAGAGAUUAAACGUGACACAGAAGUGCCUGAGCUCUUGUUUCUGCAGAAAUGACUGACGCUGCAGCAGGAAUCCAGAUCGUAGACAGGUCCCGCGCUCCUCAAACUGUCAGGAGUUUAAAGGAGGAUGCUGGCAGAACCUGGAGCGCGGAAGGAGGAGGAGGAACUUGGGAAUGUAUGACAGACCAGCUGCCCACAGGUCCACUUCUGAUUGGCUGGAAUAGAACAAAAAAAAAAAAAAAGAGCCAAUUUUUGAGGCAGAGUUAGAGGAAAACCCGUCGGAGGUCUCCGGGGGAUGUGAUGGUGUUACACUGGGGACACAGCUUCUUUGCACCCUGUGGAAAUAAAGAUUACUCUCAUAUUA